CGGGGCCAAAGAAGGCUUUCUGGAACUGUUUUCCACUUUUCCUCCAAGCAGCUGGAGGUCCUGGGGUGGAGGCUUCAUGGGGCUCAAGCCUGUGAGACCAGGUCCUGACCCAGGAGUGAGGCCCAGGAAGAUCUCCAAAAAAGCUGAAAAGUGGACAGAAACCCACGACGAAUGGCAGCCAGCUGUGGUGUGAGGGACUUAGGUCAGCAGAAGGCCGUGGGUCUCUGGGGACAGUGACACCAUCUCACUCCUUGAGUCCUGCUCGGGUGGGAUUGGAGAAGGAGGUGGACGCUGGUCAUACCAGUGACACUCGCUUACUUCUGGAAAGUGAUAAGAAAUCACAGAAGAGCGACAGUCUCUCACUGCCAAACGCCCUGCAGCCUGCAGAGAGCAUCCCGACCCCAGGUAAGGGACCCCACCAGAGAUGCGCCUCCCGCCUGAGCGGCUUCUCUCUCAUCCUAUGGCCCUGCCCUGAACAAGGCCCCAUCCUGCCUCACCUGGACAACCCCGCCCACAAACUCUCACCUGGACAACCCCGCCCACAAACUCUCACCUGGACAACCCCGCCCACAAACUCUUACCCCAAAAGAGUGGCUACUGGGAAGUAGUUACUGGGAAGGCAGGACAAGAAAAGUGUGACACAAAGUGUUCUCUGCCCCUGGGCACACCCCCCUUCAGUGUGCUCUGUGAGUGUCGCCACACUUCUGCUGGGUCCCCCACAGGACACAGGAACGCCGACUUAGCCCCAAAGCGGUUCCUUCGUGGCGCCACAAGGUAACUCCUCAGGAGGCCAGGACCCCGCAGGCUCAUGGCAGAUGAGCGGAAAGACAGCUGGCGCCAGGGGACGAGCUGGGAGCUACCUGACGUGAUGGAGAAGAACAAAGGGUGCACUAAAGGAAGAGGAACAACAUGAGAAUGUAUUAGAGGAAGAAGGUUAAAACCAUCAGGGCGGAUGAAGCAGGCAGACAGUGUUUACAGAAGGAAAGCUAAUCGUAAUGCCUCUCGGCUCGACAGUAAGUGAUAUUGACAUAACCAUGAAAAUGUAAAUACUAUUUAUGGACUUAACUCAAAACAUUAAUAAAAUUACAGUGGGAAUAUGGAGUGGGGAGACGAAGCUAAAACGUUACCCCGGCAGAAAACAAGAUUCGUCUCAAAGUAACAAAUCAAGAAAUAAAAAUGGAAGCAUGUGAUUUAGUGACAGGAAAGCAAUGGCCAGAAGAAGCAAUCUGAAAGUUAAAGAAGUUGGGGUCACAAAAAGAGGACAAGGUUAAGAGGGAGACUCGGUCAGUUCCGGCCAAGCUUUUGGGUCCUGUUUUAUUUCACACUCUGAUGAUGUUAUGUGCAUACAAUUAUUUGAAUUAAAAUGUAAUAAAAUAAUUAAAUUAUAAAAGAUGAAAUAAAACCAGAAAUCAGCAUGUCGGGACCAGCUCUUUACAAAAAAUAUGACACAAAAGUUUCACAGCUAUAUUACAGGAUUCACAUCUCUGAAAGUCCUUAUGUGCAAAAUCACUGUGGAACACACAGCGUGGCUGCAUGCAGAAAGCAGCUCCCACAAACGCCACACACGAGAAGCUCCGAAGCAUCGCUAGUGACUGAAGGAAACCAGAAGGCGCCCCCUUCCAUUCCAUGACUGAAGGCAGGAACUCGGGGCCGGGAACUGAGCUGGAACGUAAAGCAGGUGACAGGAGAGUGUGUCUUAUUCCCACCCCGGGAAGCGAGCUGACAAGCUGUAGAGAGGAGUAUUAAAAAAAUCGUGACUUUUUACCCAUCAAACCCAUAGGGAACUGACUUAAGGGAUAGACAGUAAAGCCGUAAGUAGGCAAAAAAGAAAACAAGCCAAAGUGUCUGGCAAUAAACAGUUCAGCAAAUCAAGCAUAUCCGUUUUAUGGCUCAUUAUCAGUGACAACUGGUGACACGUAAGUUUGUAGAGAUACAAAACACUUUGUCUAAAGAAAAUCAGAACUUCAAAUAGUGUAUGGUUAGUACGUCUGGUACAUGACGACGACAACAACAAAGAAAAAUGAUGUCCUCAAUAUUUUAAUAAUAAAGCGAACGUCUUUGUAAUGGACUUGUAGAAGAUCAAAGCGGACAGUUGACACCAUCUAGUUAAGAACCCGCUCUUCAGAAGAGGAAAAGCGUUGCUCACACCACAAAUUAAUGGGCGAUCAGAGUUGUGGCUCAGUGCCUGCCCAGCUCGCCAAGCGCAGCCAGGACCACCGCCUCCGGACUCGCCCCAGGCCGGGCUUCCGCCUCUGCAGCUUUACGUCCCUGCUCACUAAAGCGUCACCCACUGGCCCUGAGCUGUGGUGCAGGCCGCAGAUGCGGCUCAGAGCCUGCAUUGCUGUGGCUGUGGCGUAGGCCAGAGGCUGCAGCUCCAAAUCAACCCCUAGCUUGGGAACCUCCAUGUGCCACAGGUGCGGCCCUAAAAAGACCAAAAAAAAGAGCCUCAUCCACUGUAACCACUGUCACAAAAUGUCCCCUCCUGCAGCGAAGACUGGAUUUUUAACUGUCCCCUCCAGGUUAGGAGGGGCAUGGCUGGCAGAUGGAGCCUCUUCUGACCACAGGGCCCUCUGCUGCCCUGCUCCCUCUUUGCAGCGCAGUCGUGUCCCAAGGACAGCGUGGGUAGGUGGGUGGGGGAGGACAAGGGUCCCUGCCACCAGCCAGCGGUCCCUGUUUCUGCCUCGGUCUCCCCAGGGCUCCAUGCCUGCAUCGCCCCAUGUCUCCCUUGCAGUAGGAGUAAACCCGCCACCUUCCUAGCAUCUCGUAGUCAGUUAUCCGUAUCUGUUGGGUUAAAUUCCACAUCUACCCGAGAACAGAGGAACAAAAAAUUUCAAGCGGAUUUUCCACCCAAACUGGUCCUCUCUCGGUGAGCCCCAUCUGCAGUCUGGCUGUCGGCUGGCCCUGAGUGGUGAUGGUUACAUGCAAGUGGCCACAUAGGGACCUUAACAGAAGGUGGCCCCAAGUGGCAGGCUGUCCCAGCAGGGCUGCAGAAAAGGCAGGGCCAUGCCCCUCCGGAACAGGCCAGUGGGGCUUCUGGGAGGAGGUGGCCACGUUGUGGGGGGAGGGGCACAUUGCAUUUGGAAAAUGUCGUGUUGUUUUAAAGGCGGGAAAAGCUAAAGGAGGAAACCACUCUUGUCCACGUUUGGAAGUUUCAUUGGAAGUAGCCUCUCCUAAGCCGCCUCGCUGCCCCACUUUGCCCUUGGGGAGCAGCGAGGCGGGGAGGCUUGGAGAAGGGUCUGGUGGAGCAGAAGGGAAGCUCGGGGUAGGCCCUGCUCAAGCAAAAGCACCAGCCUCCAGCAUGUUUACCUAACGCCACCAGGGGCGUGAGGAGAGGCCAAAGAGUCCUGAGCUGUGCUGCGACAGCGUGCCCCAAACGGAGUUUCCUGACAGGAGACAGGGGCAGCGAUGGCCCGUGGCUGCAGCCCCCGCUAGUGCCCGGCUUCAGUCUGGGCCCCCACCCAGCACCGAGGGCUGCCGGCCCGGGACACUGGCGGCUGGGGGCCCCUGGGCUGCCCGAAGACCCCGAGGCCUCCGCCUGCGACCGGAGUGGCGAGCAGACGCACAUUUCGUCCUCCGGCAGAGCUCUCGGGGGUCGGCUCCAGGGCCAGAGUAAAGCUGGGGCCGGGGCGGGGUUCGUCAGACAUGCUCUAAGAUGAACCAGAUGCGUCUUUAAACACUCGGCCCCAACAGUGAUAGAAAUAUUUGGGAUGACCUUUGAAAUUUAUCAAGCACUCGCUGCGUGCCAGGAACUGAGUCAGCACGUUCCACAGGCGACUCCGCCGGGCCCUCAGUGACCCCGCCACGCUCCGGACGUGAAGCCAUGUCCCCCGGCUGCUCAGACCACGGAAAGAUGAGAUCUGCGCCCACGGCCUCUCCCCAGCCCACCCUCCAAGCCGCAGCAGAGCUGGAGGAGGGGGCAGUGUUGGUCACAGUGACAGUGACACGGGCCAAAGUGGGGUGCCCACCAAGGUGGCCUUGGGGACUGCCGCCUCUCAGGACUCUCGGGUCAGCACAGGAGAGAGGAGAUGAGAUGAGGCGCGGGGUCGGACCCUCAGGGCGUCACUCCUUAAACGCCCUCGUGAGGUUGAAGUGAGGACGCACCCCAGCCUAGAGCAGCCACCACCAGAGAAGAGCCUGCGGGCGGGCACCCCGGCGCCCGGGCACACACCUCGGGGGAAGCGCCUGUCCGAGUGACUGGCGAUCAGACUGGACGCCACCCCCGCGCCAGCCACAUGCUGAGGCUCCAGCAGGCAGCGGUACCUCCAGCCACGGUGCCGAGAACCACACGCCCACACAUUUUUCCCAGAAUGGAUUUUUCUACAGAGCUUCUAUCACGCGGGACAUGACUCUCGACCCUGCCGUUCCUGGAAGCUAGUUUUUAUGACUGCAGCUCCCGAACCCGUCAUCCCGACGCCCGGCCUUGGCAGUGGACUGGGGCUCCACGCGGAGAAGCCUGGGCUGAGAGAGCAGAGGAAACCAGUCUCUAUGAUUUGGAGCCACAAUUGCAGAGGAAAGUCACGGAAACGCAGCAGGAUGAUCUAACUGGUUUGCCAAGGACAUGCUGCUCUUCUAAAAUUCUCUUGUAGUUCUUCUACAACCAAAGCAAUCAUGGGCCAAAAAAUCAGCAGCCGUCCACACGGAAACUGCUCAGUGACCAGGGCAAGCCUAGACAAGUCUCAGGCCACACCUGACUAAAUGCCACCUGGUGACGUGUUGCACUGGCCUCAUCCUGGAGGGAACAACUCCUGUGGUUACUGGGACAUCCAGUC
Sus scrofa (pig) is the source of this 4769-nucleotide long non-coding RNA. RefSeq lists it as uncharacterized. Lineage: Eukaryota; Metazoa; Chordata; Mammalia; Artiodactyla; Suidae. The record is from RefSeq and is a predicted model, not a curated record.